Molecule: ribosomal RNA, 480 nt
Filed under: uncultured bacterium
Lineage: Bacteria
Description: partial 16S ribosomal RNA
Rfam family: Bacterial small subunit ribosomal RNA
Source: RNAcentral
GACGAACGCUGGCGGCGUGCUUAACACAUGCAAGUCGAGCGGAAAGGCCACUUCGGUGGUACUCGAGCGGCGAACGGGUGAGUAACACGUGAGUAAUCUGCCCCUGGCUUUGGGACAGCCACCGGAAACGGUGAUUAAUACCGGAUACGACCACUUCUCGCAUGGGAUGGUGGUGGAAAGUUUUUUCGGCCAGGGAUGUGCUCGCGGCCUAUCAGCUUGAUGGCGAGGUAAUGGCUCACCAUGGCUUCGACGGGUAGCCGGCCUGAGAGGGUGACCGGUCACACUGGGACUGAGACACGGCCCAGACUCCUACGGGAGGCAGCAGUGGGGAAUAUUGGACAAUGGGCGGAAGCCUGAUCCAGCAACGCCGCGUGAGGGAUGACGGCCUUCGGGUUGUAAACCUCUUUCAGCAGGGACGAAGCGCAAGUGACGGUACCUGCAGAAGAAGCACCGGCCAACUACGUGCCAGCAGCCGCCGAA